AUUAAUAGUUAUAGUCUUUAAAUUUAAAAUAAUUGGCGGUAUUUAAAUCUAAUUAGGGGAAUUUGUUAAUUAAAUGAUAAUCCUCAAGAAAACUUACUUUAAUUUAUUUAGUUUAUUUAUUGCCGUUGUAAGAAAAUUUUAAAAAAAUAUUAAAUUUUCUAAAUUUUUUUAAAAAAGAAAUUAUUUCAGGUCAUUAUGUAGUUUAUAUUAAAGUUUUGAUGAAUUACAAUAAAUAUAUUUUUAUGAAUGUUGUAAAGUAAAAUUGASUUGAAAUUGGACUUAAUAGUAAAAUAAAAUUAUUAAAUUUAUUUGAAUUUAGAAUUAAAU
RNAcentral lists this ribosomal RNA (327 nucleotides) under Aneugmenus kiotonis. RNAcentral describes it as "partial 12S ribosomal RNA". Lineage: Eukaryota; Metazoa; Arthropoda; Insecta; Hymenoptera; Tenthredinidae. The record is from RNAcentral.